This 486-nucleotide ribosomal RNA is filed under the name uncultured bacterium. Its description in RNAcentral is "bacterial SSU rRNA". It matches the Rfam family "Bacterial small subunit ribosomal RNA", at positions 340 to 814 of the family's 1533-position model. The record is from RNAcentral.
UACGGAAGGCAGCAGUGGGGAAUAUUGCACAAUGGGCGAAAGCCUGAUGCAGCUAUGCCGCGUGUAUGAAGAAGGCCUUAGGGUUGUAAAGUACUUUCAUCGGGGAGGAAAAAACAAAACUAAUAAUUUUAUUUCUUGACGUUACCCGAAAAAGAAGCACCGGCUAACUCCGUGCCAGCAGCCGCGGUAAUACGGAGGGUGCUAGCGUUAAUCAGAAUUACUGGGCGUAAAGAGCACGUAGGUGGUUUUUUUAAGUCAGAUGUGAAUCCCUGGGCUUAACCUAGGAACUGCAUUUUGAAACUGAAAUACUAGAGUAUCGUAGAGGGAGGUAGAAUUCUAGGUGUAGCGGUGAAAUGCGUAGAUAUCUGGAGGAAUACCUGUGGCGAAAGCGGCCUCCUAAACGAAUACUGACACUGAGGUGCGAAAGCGUGGGGAGCAAACAGGGAUUAGAAACCCUCUGAGACCGUCACGGACGCAACAACGGGA